Molecule: ribosomal RNA, 468 nt
Filed under: uncultured bacterium
Lineage: Bacteria
Description: bacterial SSU rRNA
Rfam family: Bacterial small subunit ribosomal RNA
Source: RNAcentral
GACGAACGCUGGCGGCGUGCUUAACACAUGCAAGUCGAACGCUGAAGCUCUGCCCUUGUGGUGGGGUGGAUGAGUGGCGAACGGGUGAGUAACACGUGGGUAAUCUGCCCCAUACUCUGGGAUAACCCCUGGAAACGGGGGCUAAUACCGGAUAGGACAUUCUGCCGCAUGGUGGGGUGUGGAAAGUUCCGGCGGUAUGGGAUGGGCCCGCGGCCUAUCAGCUUGUUGGUGGGGUAAUGGCCUACCAAGGCGACGACGGGUAGCCGGCCUGAGAGGGUGGACGGCCACACUGGGACUGAGAACGGCCCAGACUCCUACGGGAGGCAGCAGUGGGGAAUAUUGCGCAGUGGGGGAAACCCUGACGCAGCGACGCCGCGUGAGCGAAGAAGGCCUUCGGGUUGUAAAGCUCUGUUGUAAGGGACGAAAGAUCAAGGGAAUAACUGCCCUUGAAGUGACGGUACCUUACCA